Molecule: unclassified non-coding RNA, 377 nt
Filed under: uncultured Gammaproteobacteria bacterium
Lineage: Bacteria; Pseudomonadati; Pseudomonadota; Gammaproteobacteria
Description: contains 16S-23S intergenic spacer region
Source: RNAcentral
UCCGAGUUGACCCCGGCAGUCUCACAUGAGUUCCCACCAUAACGUGCUGGCAACAUGCGACGAGGGUUGCGCUCGUUGCGGGACUUAACCCAACAUCUCACGACACGAGCUGACGACAGCCAUGCAGCACCUGUCUCGACGUCCCUUGCGGGAACCCCCACUUUCAUGGGGUAGCGUCGGAUGUCAAGCCCAGGUAAGGUUUUUCGCGUUGCUUCGAAUUAAUCCACAUAAUCCACCGCUUGUGCGGGUCCCCGUCAAUUCCUUUGAGUUUUAACCUUGCGGCCGUACUCCCCAGGCGGUCAACUUCACGCGUUAGCUUCGUUACCAAGGAAUUGCUUCCCCGACAACCAGUUGACAUAGUUUAGGGCGUGGACUAC